RNAcentral lists this transfer RNA (64 nucleotides) under Vertigo pusilla. RNAcentral describes it as "tRNA-His". The record is from RNAcentral. Lineage: Eukaryota; Metazoa; Mollusca; Gastropoda; Stylommatophora; Vertiginidae.
AAGUUUUAAGGUUUAAACUGCUUAUUUGUGGAAUAAGAGAGUCAACUUAUAGUUGAAAAACUUC